UACGUAGGGGGCAAGCGUUGUCCGGAUUUAUUGGGCGUAAAGAGCGUGUAGGCGGUUAGGUAGGUCCGUUGUGAAAACUCGAGGCUCAACCUCGAGACGCCGAUGGAAACCAUCUGACUAGAGUCCGGAAGAGGAGAGUGGAAUUCCUGGUGUAGCGGUGAAAUGCGCAGAUAUCGGGAGGAACACCUGUGGCGAAAGCGGCUCUCUGGACCACAACUGACGCUGAGGCGCGAAAGCUAGGGGAGCAAACAGG
Molecule: ribosomal RNA, 253 nt
Filed under: uncultured bacterium
Lineage: Bacteria
Description: partial 16S ribosomal RNA
Rfam family: Bacterial small subunit ribosomal RNA
Source: RNAcentral